UUUUAAGUGUUUAUUGAAGAUGAUAUUAGAUGAGGUAAUGAAAAAAUUUGUACAAAUUAAUUGACAAUAUAGGGUGUUAUAUAUAGAAGUUUCAUUCAGCUUCAGCAUCACGAUCAACAAAGAAAGAACGACCAACUCUACAGUUUCUGACGCUAAAAGGAGGUGAUGAUUUACCCUUAGAAAUCAAAGGAACACUCAAACGCCGACACUGAACGAUGGGAGGAUUGAAACGACUACUCUUGAACUUUCCAAACUUGGCUCUGAUUCUGAAAUCAAAAUCCACAGCCAUGUCAUUGUAAACCUCGACACUUGUCUCUUCUUUAUACUCACCAAGUUGUUGACGUCUGAGCUUAAGCAAACUUUGCCCUUCAAACAAUACCUGAAGGACGGUGGUGUUCUUGUGGCCUUGGUCAAAGGGUGUUAAGGUUACCCGACCAAAAUCAUUGUCUUUGUACCAAGCUAUCGCUUUGAUCCUCCUAUAGUACACUACGAUGUUGUUGUUGGGGUUUCUCACUGUGACGUUGACCUUGAAGUUGUAAUACAAGGUGUUGUUGUUUGUGAGGUUGAAUUGUGUGAUGGAGGCAUCAGUUACAUGGAACUUCACGUUUGAUGGAGAGAUGAUUAUCCAGAAGAUGAUUGAGAAAACUAUGAACAGCAAUACGAGGGUGAUGAAUGUGCAGCAAAUGCAACGUAUGCAGCGGUCUCUGCAACACAUGGUGUCACUGAUUUUCUAAGGUUUCUAAGGUGAUUGGUGAAAGAUGGCUUAACAAUUUUUUUGCUUCUAAGGGUAUUUGAAGGAGUUAACCAUUGAUGGUUCUGGUGUGGCUUUGUCACUGAUUCAGGUUAUUUCUGAGAGUUUUCUUACAUAAUACAAUGCAAAUGCAGAGAGAGGCAUUGACUUUUGAAGGCCAAGUGAAGAACUUUUCAAUGGUUUGA
This 936-nucleotide small RNA is filed under the name Vigna angularis var. angularis. RNAcentral's name for it is "Non-protein coding transcript". Lineage: Eukaryota; Viridiplantae; Streptophyta; Magnoliopsida; Fabales; Fabaceae. The record is from RNAcentral.